This 87-nucleotide transfer RNA is filed under the name Oceanidesulfovibrio marinus. RNAcentral's name for it is "tRNA-Leu". It matches the Rfam family "tRNA". From Rfam's summary of the family: Transfer RNA (tRNA) molecules are approximately 80 nucleotides in length. Lineage: Bacteria; Pseudomonadati; Thermodesulfobacteriota; Desulfovibrionia; Desulfovibrionales; Desulfovibrionaceae. The record is from RNAcentral.
GCCCGGGUGGCGGAACUGGUAGACGCAAGGGACUUAAAAUCCCUCGGUGGCAACACUGUGCGGGUUCGAUUCCCGCCCCGGGCACCA